Molecule: long non-coding RNA, 326 nt
Organism: Rhinolophus ferrumequinum (greater horseshoe bat)
Lineage: Eukaryota; Metazoa; Chordata; Mammalia; Chiroptera; Rhinolophidae
Exons: 3
Source: RefSeq, a predicted model, not a curated record
CAGAUAUAAUUUUAAACACGAUAGGAACAGUAUUAAAAUAAAAAUCUGUACCAUUCUUCCGUAUUUCUUAGAACAUCACAUACCGUCAGGAGGGAGAAAGAAGGCAGUAUUAGAAGACACUGGGAUGCACAAUUUCCAGCUCUGAACAGCAGAAGGCGAUGUGACCCAGGAUGGCUUAGGCAAUACAUUUUUAUAGGGAAAAAAAAGCUCUUGGAGAAAUUCAUUAUAUGAAAUCAAAGAGGAAGAACUGCAAAAGAAAAUCUCCAAGUCACUAUCAGGCUUAUAAAGAAUAUAAAGAAGAACCAGCAGUCCACCAGAAUCUCAGG